Panthera uncia (snow leopard) is the source of this 3062-nucleotide long non-coding RNA. RefSeq lists it as uncharacterized. The record is from RefSeq and is a predicted model, not a curated record. The transcript is spliced from 3 exons. NCBI's taxonomy places the organism in Eukaryota, Metazoa, Chordata, Mammalia, Carnivora, Felidae.
CGUCGGGUGUGGACCCUAUUUAAAAAAAAAAAAAAUGGAAUUUACACUGACUGAACCGAAAAGAAUAAAAAAGACGUUUAAGGUUUUAACCCGCUUCGGCCACCUCCCCAGUCCCCACGUGUUUGAUGCAAAAAAAAAAAAAAAAAAAAAGACGAGAAUGAACAUCGUCGCUGCGCCCCAGCCUUGCGGGGGCCGUCGUCCCGACGUGGGCGGCGGGUGUUUGCCCGGGCCGAGGUCCCACCCCGCCCCGGGGCCUCCCUGCGCUGCCUUUGUGUUGGCGGGUCAGGCACCCCCGCGGCUUCGCCGGGCGGGUGGUCGGCGCGGUCCCGGCCUCAGCGGAGACAGACCCCGCCCUGUCAGCUCACCCCGAGGUCUGGGCCUUCUGGAGGCUGCUAGCUAUUCACACAGCAGGGCUGAUGAAAGUGUCGGUCUGCCAGAGCCACGUUGGUUCCUGAUCACAAAUGACACAAUCGCAUUGUGCUGGGCCCUUCUCUGGACUCUCUCAACCUUGUUCCAACGGAGGACAUCUAAGCCUGGGAAUUUCAAAUAUGUGGCAGAUACUGAUGGGAGAGAGGAGCUGCCUUAGUCAAACUCUUUUGAGAAAUGUCAAAUGACAACAAAAGGCAAGACUACUUUUUCUUUGCGUGACAAUUCUUCCAACAGUGAAAUGUUGAAUAGCAGGUUAUGACCAGUCUUGGGAGCAGAGGUGGAGCUGAAGUAGAAAUCAGCUGAUCAGAUGUGAGGGUCCCAGGAGGCCUGUCCAGGACAGGAACUAAGCAUAUUUGGCCACAAACAACACAGUGACUCCCAGUGUGAAGCACGGAGCUACAGCAGCCAUCUUAGGACCGUGUGGGGAGCUGGCCUAGAAGGACAAACCAGUACUCUGAAGGUAAGGUGGCAAGAACCUGAGCCCUUAGUGACUCAAUUUUGCUGGUCAAUUAACUAACUGGAAUCAUCUGACCUCCAGAAUUCUUGCUAUACGAGAUGAUUCCUUUCACAGUUGUGUACGCCGUUUUGAGUUGGGCUUUCAGUGAUUUGCAUCAGGAGGCUUCUCGAGGGACAGCCCACACUCUCGCACUGCGACACACACCUGGGGCAGCAGAUCAAACCCAAACAAGAGGAGCAGGGACUAAAUUCACAACCAGUUGGCCGCUCCCCUGGAUCUUGUAGAAAAACUGUGGUUGGCCUCUCCCCAACUUCCAGAGGACAAGGGUCCAGGGGCAAUGGGAUGUGGUCUGGCACUUAGGAACUGAAGAAGAGUAUCUGCUUUACACCGAGAGUUCAGCUUUUGACGUCAUUCGUGUAGUUACUCAUUACAAGUGUGUAGACACUAGGUAGGAUGUAAGGACAAACAGCGCUGUAGAACAAACAGGGUGCAUCUUCUGGGGCCCCUCCCUUCCACGCUCACCAAUCCCCUUGUUGGUGCCAACCCCACCCCUCUCCACAGGUACCGGUCCCUCUUGCAGACUCUUUGACAGGAGGUAGAAUUCUGUACCAUCUGAGAGUUUGUGUGUGGGCCGGAUCAGGCCCAGCGUGGACCUUGCACACUAAAAAAUCAGAGUGAGCUCUUAAACAGCACCCUUCUGCUUUGGGGUGGACUCUAUUCCCUAGCCUAUUCCACACCCACUCGGAACCUAAAGAAGGGCUGGAGUCAGACUGUCCUACAGAAAUCCAUUGAUUCAUUCAAAGAGGAGCUCACCAUGCCCUAUUUAAACCUCUGUGGUUUUUUAGAAGUUUUUAUUUAAAUACCAGUUAGUAAACCUACAGUGUAAUAUUAGUUUCAGACGUACAAUAUAGUGAUUCAACACUUCUAUACAUUACUCAGUGCUCGUCACAACAAGUGCACUCCUUAAUCCCGCCACCUAUUUCACCCAUCCCCCCAUCCACUUCCCUUCUGGUAACCAUCAGUUUAUAUUUAAGAGUUUGUUUCUCUACAGUUAGGAGUUUGUUUCUUGGUUUGCCUCUCUCUCUGUCCCUCUUUCUCUUUUUUUACCCCUUAUUCAUUUUAAACCUCUAUGAUGUUGCACAUUCUAUUUACUCUCCUUGCUCACCUGCCGAGCUCAUACUCACUCUUCAAGGCCAGCUGAAAUAUCAUCUCCUCCAUGAAGCCACCAUAAUUCCCAGUCUCUCUUCACACCAUUAUCCCUCCUUGACAAAAGAGAUCACCUCUUUCUCCACACUCCCAGCAUGCUUUGGACACAUCUUUGUUCACUUGGUAUUGAAAAUCAUUUGCUUGUGUGUGUGCAUUUCUCUCUCACACAUUGCUACUCUAAUAUGAGUAUACAUAUGACUGAGAAAACUGUAAUUUCAAAAAGAUUAAAAUAAGCCCUUUAUGAGGACAUAUAACAAACUCCUACAAUCAACAAUAAAAAUAACAAAUACCCAAUUAAAAAUGUGCAAAGGACCUAAAUCAACAUUUCUCCAAAGGAGAUAUAAAAAUGGCCAAUUGCACAUGAAAAGAUGCUCAAUUAUCAUUAGUCAUCAGCAAAACCACAAUGAAAUGCCACUUCAUACUCACUUGGAUGGAAAAAAACUGAUAAUAACAAGUGUUGGUGAAGAUGUGGAGGAACUGGAACCCUCACAAACAGCUGGUGGGAAUGUAAAACAGGGUAGCCACUUGGAAAACAGUCUGGCAUUCCUCCAAAAGUUAAACAUAGAGUUACCACAUGAAUCAGCAAUUCCACUCCUAGAUACAUACCUACUAGAAAGGCAAACAUGUCUACACAAAAACCUGUACAUGAAUCUUCAUAGCAUCAUUACUCAUAAGAGCCAAAAAGUAGAAACAGCCCAAAUGUCCAUCAACUAAUGAAUGGAUCAACAAAAUGUAGUAUAUCCAUAUGAUGGAAUAUUUGGCAAUAAAAAGGAAUGAAGUAUUGAUUCAUGCCACAGCAUGGAUGAACCUUGAAAACAUUAUGCUUGGGACUCUUGGGUGGCUCAGUCAGCUGAGAAUCCAACUCUUGAUCUCAGCUCAGGUCAUGAUCUCAUGGUUCAUGGGUUUCAGCCCUGCAUCAGGUUCUGUGUUGGCAGUGCAGAGCCUGCUUGGGAUUCUGUCUCUCCCUCUC